RNAcentral lists this transfer RNA (65 nucleotides) under Cephalodiscus hodgsoni. RNAcentral describes it as "tRNA-His". Lineage: Eukaryota; Metazoa; Hemichordata; Pterobranchia; Cephalodiscida; Cephalodiscidae. The record is from RNAcentral.
UCUAAAAUAGUUUAUUUAUAAAAUGUCAAUUUGUGGUUUUGGUGAAGGGUUAUUUUCUUUUAGGU